CCUACGGGCGGCUGCAGUGGGGAAUAUUGGACAAUGGGGGGAACCCUGAUCCAGCCAUGCCGCGUGUGUGAAGAAGGCCUUCGGGUUGUAAAGCACUUUAAUUUGGGAGGAAGGGCUUACGGUUAAUAACCGCUAAGUUUUGACGUUACCAAAAGAAUAAGCACCGGCGGUAAUACGAAGGGUGCGAGCGUUAAUCGGAAUUACUGGGCGUAAAGCGCGCGUAGGUGGUUCAUUAAGUUAGGAGUGAAAGCCCCGGGCUCAACCUGGGAAUUGCUUCUAAAACUGGUGAGCUAGAGUACGGUAGAGGGUGGUGGAAUUUCCUGUGUAGCGGUGAAAUGCGUAGAUAUAGGAAGGAACAUCAGUGGCGAAGGCGACCACCUGGACUGAUACUGACACUGAGGUGCGAAAGCGUGGGGAGCAAACAGGAUUAGAUACCCUUGUAGUC
This 445-nucleotide ribosomal RNA is filed under the name uncultured Pseudomonadaceae bacterium. RNAcentral's name for it is "bacterial SSU rRNA". It matches the Rfam family "Bacterial small subunit ribosomal RNA", at positions 338 to 795 of the family's 1533-position model. The record is from RNAcentral. Lineage: Bacteria; Pseudomonadati; Pseudomonadota; Gammaproteobacteria; Pseudomonadales; Pseudomonadaceae.